CAGGCCUAACACAUGCAAGUCGAGCGGACCAUUCCUUCGGGGAUGGUUAGCGGCGGACGGGUGAGUAACACGUAGGCAACCUGCCUGUAAGAUCGGGAUAACUACCGGAAACGGUAGCUAAGACCGGAUAGCUGGUUUCUCCGCAUGGGGGAAUCAUGAAACACGGGGCAACCUGUGGCUUACGGAUGGGCCUGCGGCGCAUUAGCUAGUUGGUGGGGUAAUGGCCCACCAAGGCGACGAUGCGUAGCCGACCUGAGAGGGUGAUCGGCCACACUGGGACUGAGACACGGCCCAGACUCCUACGGGAGGCAGCAGUAGGGAAUCUUCCGCAAUGGGCGCAAGCCUGACGGAGCAACGCCGCGUGAGUGAUGAAGGUUUUCGGAUCGUAAAGCUCUGUUGCCAAGGAAGAACGCCUCGGAGAGUAACUGCUCUGAGGGUGACGGUACUUGAGAAGAAAGCCCCGGCUAACUACGUGCCAGCAGCCGCGGUAAUACGUAGGGGGCAAGCGUUGUCCGGAAUUAUUGGGCGUAAAGCGCGCGCAGGCGGUCUUUUAAGUUUGGUGUUUAAGCCCGGGGCUCAACCCCGGUUCGCACUGAAAACUGGGAGACUUGAGUGCAGGAGAGGAAAGCGGAAUUCCACGUGUAGCGGUGAAAUGCGUAGAGAUGUGGGGGAACACCAGUGGCGAAGGCGGCUUUCUGGACUGUAACUGACGCUGAGGCGCGAAAGCGUGGGGAGCAAACAGGAUUAGAU
This 750-nucleotide ribosomal RNA is filed under the name uncultured bacterium. RNAcentral describes it as "bacterial SSU rRNA". It matches the Rfam family "Bacterial small subunit ribosomal RNA", at positions 43 to 783 of the family's 1533-position model. The record is from RNAcentral.